UGAAUUUUCCCACGCUGUGUAAAAUGACUCAUAACACUCUGGUGUAUUAAGUAACCAAUCAGAGUGCUCUGAGUCAUUUUACACAGCGUGGGAAAA
Non-coding RNA from Pelobates cultripes (western spadefoot toad), 96 nucleotides. The record is from the annotation of a GenBank genome assembly. NCBI's taxonomy places the organism in Eukaryota, Metazoa, Chordata, Amphibia, Anura, Pelobatidae.